This 253-nucleotide ribosomal RNA is filed under the name uncultured bacterium. Its description in RNAcentral is "partial 16S ribosomal RNA". It matches the Rfam family "Bacterial small subunit ribosomal RNA", at positions 524 to 776 of the family's 1533-position model. The record is from RNAcentral.
UACGAAGGGGGCGAGCGUUGUUCGGAGUUACUGGGCGUAAAGGGCGCGUAGGCGGCCUAUCAAGUCAGAUGUGAAAGCCCCGGGCUUAACCUGGGAAUGGCAUUGGGACUGGUAGGCUUGAGAGAGGGAGAGGUAAGUGGAAUUCCCCAGUGUAGAGGUGAAAUUCGUAGAUAUUGGGAAGAACACCGGUGGCGAAGGCGGCUUACUGGACCUCAUCUGACGCUGAGGCGCGAAAGCGUGGGGAGCAAACAGG